This 404-nucleotide ribosomal RNA is filed under the name uncultured marine eukaryote. Its description in RNAcentral is "SSU rRNA". It matches the Rfam family "Eukaryotic small subunit ribosomal RNA", at positions 619 to 1021 of the family's 1831-position model. The record is from RNAcentral.
UUAAAAAGCUCGUAGUUGGAUUUCUGGUUGGAGCAAUCGGUCGGCCCCGCAAGGGGUCUGUACUAGACGUUGUCUCGGGCCAUCCUUGUGGGAACUGUGCGGCCGUUAACUCGGUUGUAUGUGGGAACACAUCGUUUACUGUGAAAAAAUUAGAGUGUUUAAAGCAGGCUUAGGCCGUUGAAUACAUUAGCAUGGAAUAAUAAGAUAAGACUUGGGUCAUUAUUUUGUUGGUUUGCGGACUCAGGUAAUGAUUAAUAGGGAUAGUUGGGGGUAUUCAUAUUUAAUUGUCAGAGGUGAAAUUCUUGGAUUUAUGAAAGAUGAACUUAGGCGAAAGCAUUUACCAAGGAUGUUUUCAUUAAUCAAGAACGAAAGUUAGGGGAUCGAACAUGAUUAGAUACCAUCGU